AGAGUUUGAUCAUGGCUCAGAUUGAACGCUGGCGGCAUGCCUUACACAUGCAAGUCGAACGGUAACGCGGGGGCAACCCUGGCGACGAGUGGCGAACGGGUGAGUAAUACAUCGGAACAUAUCCAGUAGCGGGGGAUAACCUAUCGAAAGAUGGACUAAUACCGCAUACGAUCUACGGAUGAAAGCAGGGGACCGCAAGGCCUUGCACUAUUGGAGUGGCCGAUGUCGGAUUAGCUAGUUGGUGGGGUAAAAGCUUACCAAGGCGACGAUCCGUAGCUGGUCUGAGGGGACGAUCAGCCACACUGGAACUGAGACACGGUCCAGACUCCUACGGGAGGCAGCAGUGGGGAAUUUUGGACAAUGGGCGCAAGCCUGAUCCAGCCAUGCCGCGUGAGUGAAGAAGGCCUUCGGGUUGUAAAGCUCUUUCGGUGAAGACGAAACGGUUCAUGCUAAUAACGUGAACUAAUGACGGUACUCACAGAAGAAGCACCGGCUAACUACGUGCCAGCAGCCGCGGUAAUACGUAGGGUGCAGGCGUUAAUCGGAAUUACUGGGCGUAAAGCGUGCGCAGGCGGUUUGCUAAGACAGGUGUGAAAUCCCCGGGCUUAACCUGGGAAUUGCGCUUGUAACUGGCAAGCUAGAGUGUGGCAGAGGGGGGUGGAAUUCCACGUGUAGCAGUGAAAUGCGUAGAUAUGUGGAGGAACACCGAUGGCGAAGGCAGCCCCCUGGGUUAACACUGACGCUCAUGCACGAAAGCGUGGGGAGCAAACAGGAUUAGAUACCCUGGUAGUCCACGCCCUAAACUAUGUCAACUAGUUGUCGGGGAAGAAAUUCCUUGGUAACGAAGCUAACGCGUGAAGUUGACCGCCUGGGGAGUACGGCCGCAAGGUUAAAACUCAAAGGAAUUGACGGGGACCCGCACAAGCGGUGGAUUAUGUGGAUUAAUUCGAUGCAACGCGAAAAACCUUACCUACCCUUGACAUGCUAGGAAGCCCGCAGAGAUGUGGGUGUGCCCGAAAGGGAACCUAGACACAGGUGCUGCAUGGCUGUCGUCAGCUCGUGUCGUGAGAUGUUGGGUUAAGUCCCGCAACGAGCGCAACCCUUGCCAUUAGUUGCUACAUUCAGUUGGGCACUCUAAUGGGACCGCCGGUGACAAACCGGAGGAAGGUGGGGAUGACGUCAAGUCCUCAUGGCCCUUAUGGGUAGGGCUUCACACGUAAUAC
RNAcentral lists this ribosomal RNA (1223 nucleotides) under metagenome. Its description in RNAcentral is "bacterial SSU rRNA". It matches the Rfam family "Bacterial small subunit ribosomal RNA", at positions 8 to 1228 of the family's 1533-position model. The record is from RNAcentral.